RNAcentral lists this ribosomal RNA (465 nucleotides) under Vreelandella stevensii. RNAcentral's name for it is "partial 16S ribosomal RNA". It matches the Rfam family "Bacterial small subunit ribosomal RNA", at positions 338 to 795 of the family's 1533-position model. Lineage: Bacteria; Pseudomonadati; Pseudomonadota; Gammaproteobacteria; Oceanospirillales; Halomonadaceae. The record is from RNAcentral.
CCUACGGGGGGCAGCAGUGGGGAAUAUUGGACAAUGGGGGGAACCCUGAUCCAGCCAUGCCGCGUGUGUGAAGAAGGCCCUCGGGUUGUAAAGCACUUUCAGUGAGGAAGAACGCCUGGUGGUUAAUACCCAUCAGGAAAGACAUCACUCACAGAAGAAGCACCGGCUAACUCCGUGCCAGCAGCCGCGGUAAUACGGAGGGUGCGAGCGUUAAUCGGAAUUACUGGGCGUAAAGCGCGCGUAGGUGGCUUGAUAAGCCGGUUGUGAAAGCCCCGGGCUCAACCUGGGAACGGCAUCCGGAACUGUCAAGCUAGAGUGCAGGAGAGGAAGGUAGAAUUCCCGGUGUAGCGGUGAAAUGCGUAGAGAUCGGGAGGAAUAACAGUGGCGAAGGCGGCCUUCUGGACUGACACUGACACUGAGGUGCGAAAGCGUGGGUAGCAAACAGGAUUAGAUACCCGGGUAGUC